GAUGAACGCUGGCGGCGUGCCUAAUACAUGCAAGUCGAGCGAACAGACGAGGCGCUUGCUCCUCUGACGUUAGCGGCGGACGGGUGAGUAACACGUGGAUCACCUACCUAUAAGACUGGGAUAACUUCGGGAAACCGGAGCUAAUACCGGAUAAUAUAUUGAACCGCAUGGUUCAAUAGUGAAAGACGGUUUUGCUGUAUCUUCUCGAUGGAUCUGCGCCGCAUUGGCUAGUUGGUAAGGUAACGGCUUACCAAGGCGACGAUGCGUAGCCGACCUGAGAGAGGGAUAGGCCACCCUGGAACUGAGACACCGUCCAGACUCCUACGGGAGGCAGCAGUAGGCAAUGUUCCGCAAUGGGCGAAAACCUGACGGAGCAACGCCACGUGAGUUAUGAAGGUCUUCGGAUCGUAAAACUCUGUUAUUAGUGAAGAACAAAUGUGUAAUUAAAUGUGCACGUCUUGACGGUACCUAAUCAGAAAGCCCCGGCUAACUACGUG
This 497-nucleotide ribosomal RNA is filed under the name uncultured bacterium. Its description in RNAcentral is "partial 16S ribosomal RNA". It matches the Rfam family "Bacterial small subunit ribosomal RNA", at positions 28 to 507 of the family's 1533-position model. The record is from RNAcentral.